UGAGUCGUUGGCUCCGUUCCUUGGUCUCC
This 29-nucleotide non-coding RNA is filed under the name Rattus norvegicus (Norway rat). Lineage: Eukaryota; Metazoa; Chordata; Mammalia; Rodentia; Muridae. The record is from RNAcentral.